CGACAUUUUUGUCUUGAAUACUUAUUUUCGUCGCUCUAGGAUUGUAUAUAUCAAGAAACCCACCAGCGGCAGUGGCGUGCCCGCGCAUUUUCAUGAUCCCCUUCAUACAUUUUUAGAUCAAAAUUUGGUUUCUAUCAACAUUGAAGUAAUUCUUGUUGCAGCGGAUGAGAGCAGAUGGCGCGAUUCUAUUAUCAAUGUUAUUGUUCGACUAAUUGAUGAUAAAGCAUGUCUGCUUCUUGUUUAAUGGCAUUGCGGAUUUGUUAGAUGGAUGAGUUCGGCCACGUUUGUUGAUAGCGCCACUUCGACGAGUAGUUGUGCGCUUUAGAUGAUGUGAAAUUGUGUGAGUUGUUCGAUGAGAAAGUUGACGGAGAUUGGUUGUGACCGAAAACCAGUAUUAUAAAGGUCAGAUUUUAAUUCAGUUCAUGAGUUCUUGUUUCUAUUACUCGUUGAUGUAAUCAAUUCAUUUUCAUCGAGUCCAUGCUUUUCUCUGUUCCGAAAAUAGGGAUGUUGUGUUCCAAAAUCUUGACUGUGAUUGUGUUCAAAAAAAGUCGGAAUGUUGAUAAUGGUUUCUCAGUUGGUCAAAAAAUUAUGUAUGAUCGACUGGCUUUCUUCCUUC
This is a non-coding RNA of Erythranthe guttata (spotted monkey flower), 616 nucleotides long. NCBI's taxonomy places the organism in Eukaryota, Viridiplantae, Streptophyta, Magnoliopsida, Lamiales, Phrymaceae. The record is from RefSeq and is a predicted model, not a curated record.